AUAGACUGUAUUCCAUAGUGUCGUAGCAAGAACAAAUAGGGGAGGAUGAAGACUGUCAGGGCUACAAAUUACUAGCAUACCCUUACUUCCGGGUGACGCGCAGGAAUGAAGAAACAUGCUGGAAGAGGCGCAAAACCACGAUAACACAGUACAAAAACUGUUUCCGCUAGUGUAGCAAGUGGAGUGAAUGAAAAAACAUGCUCGAAGAGGCGUAAAACCACGAUAACACAGUACAAAAACUGUUUCCGCUAGUGUAGCAAGUGAAGUUCCCCCGCUUUAAGAACAUUUGGGUAUUUUAUUAAACUGCGCACUUUGAACUCAA
Actinia tenebrosa (Australian red waratah sea anemone) is the source of this 322-nucleotide long non-coding RNA. RefSeq lists it as uncharacterized. The record is from RefSeq and is a predicted model, not a curated record. NCBI's taxonomy places the organism in Eukaryota, Metazoa, Cnidaria, Anthozoa, Actiniaria, Actiniidae.